Molecule: non-coding RNA, 537 nt
Organism: Jatropha curcas
Lineage: Eukaryota; Viridiplantae; Streptophyta; Magnoliopsida; Malpighiales; Euphorbiaceae
Source: RefSeq, a predicted model, not a curated record
UCAAGAUUAUAUAGGAAUUCACUCUAAUUAAAAUCUUUCAGUUGCCUUUUGUCCCUGAGUUUGACCAACAGGAAAUUUAAGUGGAGAACCAAGUAGUUGAUGAAUGAAAUUAUUGGGAUAAGUUAAUUUGACUUUGAAAAUGGAGAUCCUAACUAGUGAUUAGGUCGAAACUCAAGCACUGAGUGUUAAUCCACAAAAAAAGGCAUUCUAGGUUUCCUUUGAAUUCUUGCAGAUUGUAAUUGUUCAAACACUAACCUGAAAUCUUUGGUGUGCUCAACCUUGCGGCUCCCUUUGAUGUUGGAUUCAGCAUCUGCUGUCUCAUGUAACAGAGACUUAUCAGCAGGCACUUUUACUUUGUAUUUCCUAAUGGAUGCCACUAUCACCUGGAAGAGACGUGAAUGCCAAAACCCCAUCCCCAACUCCAGUUGUCUUGUACAUAAACAAGCACGGAAGAAGCAAUAAGAGCUCCGACAUUAAUUGAGAAGUAGAACCAGUUGAAGAAAGAGCCUUUGUGCUUCUUCUCAACCUCAUCUGUAU